GACGAACGCUGGCGGCGUGCUUAACACAUGCAAGUCGAACGGAAAGGCCCUGCUUUUGUGGGGUGCUCGAGUGGCGAACGGGUGAGUAACACGUGAGUAACCUGCCCUUGACUUUGGGAUAACUUCAGGAAACUGGGGCUAAUACCGGAUAGGAGCUCCUGCUGCAUGGUGGGGGUUGGAAAGUUUCGGCGGUUGGGGAUGGACUCGCGGCUUAUCAGCUUGUUGGUGGGGUAGUGGCUUACCAAGGCUUUGACGGGUAGCCGGCCUGAGAGGGUGACCGGCCGCAGUGGAACGGAGGCACGGGCCUGGGGCCUACGGGAGGCAGCGGGGGGGAAUCGUCCGCGACGGGCGGGAGCCUGACGGAGCGACGCCGCGUGAGUGAUGGAGGGCGUCGGAUCGUAAAACGCUGUGAUUAGGGAAGAACAAAUGUGUAAGUAACGAUGCACGUCUGGACGGUACCUAAUCAGAAAGCCACGGCUAACUACGUG
RNAcentral lists this ribosomal RNA (488 nucleotides) under uncultured bacterium. Its description in RNAcentral is "partial 16S ribosomal RNA". It matches the Rfam family "Bacterial small subunit ribosomal RNA", at positions 28 to 507 of the family's 1533-position model. The record is from RNAcentral.